RNAcentral lists this ribosomal RNA (462 nucleotides) under Streptococcus mitis. Its description in RNAcentral is "bacterial SSU rRNA". It matches the Rfam family "Bacterial small subunit ribosomal RNA", at positions 28 to 474 of the family's 1533-position model. The record is from RNAcentral. Lineage: Bacteria; Bacillati; Bacillota; Bacilli; Lactobacillales; Streptococcaceae.
GACGAACGCUGGCGGCGUGCCUAAUACAUGCAAGUAGAACGCUGAAGGAGGAGCUUGCUUCUCUAGAUGAGUUGCGAACGGGUGAGUAACGCGUAGGUAACCUGCCUGGUAGCGGGGGAUAACUAUUGGAAACGAUAGCUAAUACCGCAUAAUAGUAGAUGUUGCAUGACAUUUGCUUAAAAGGUGCAAUUGCAUCACUACCAGAUGGACCUGCGUUGUAUUAGCUAGUUGGUGAGGUAACGGCUCACCAAGGCGACGAUACAUAGCCGACCUGAGAGGGUGAUCGGCCACACUGGGACUGAGACACGGCCCAGACUCCUACGGGAGGCAGCAGUAGGGAAUCUUCGGCAAUGGACGGAAGUCUGACCGAGCAACGCCGCGUGAGUGAAGAAGGUUUUCGGAUCGUAAAGCUCUGUUGUAAGAGAAGAACGAGUGUGAGAGUGGAAAGUUCACACUGUGACG